Long non-coding RNA from Magnolia sinica, 1285 nucleotides. RefSeq lists it as uncharacterized. NCBI's taxonomy places the organism in Eukaryota, Viridiplantae, Streptophyta, Magnoliopsida, Magnoliales, Magnoliaceae. The transcript has 3 exons. The record is from RefSeq and is a predicted model, not a curated record.
GUUCUGACUCCAUCCGGUCCAUGCCUGGCCGUAAUGGGCUAUGCCGCAAGACCAGACCUCAUCUCACGUGCCCCCUGCAUUUCCUCGCUAGCAUUAUUUCUCGCGCGCUGCGUGGCGAGUUUUUUAAAAUGCUCUGUUUUCUUCUUCUUCUUCUUCCGCUACUACCCUCGUCUCGCUCGUUGGACAGAAGAUCGGAAAUAUCAGACCAUCCGAUUCGUCUCCACCGGGAGAUCGCUGCCGUCGUUUUCCUGAACUGAAAUUCCUUUCCAGCAUGACUGUGAUGUGGGCUGGUAGCCUAAAUUGAAGGAAGAAAAGGCUCCAAAUCAACCAAGCAGAGAGUGAGAAAGAAGCUAUAUUUGUGCCUAAGAUGACCAUAGCUGAUGAUAUUGGUGGUUGAAGACAUAAAAAUUCAAUCAUGAGUGUUGCCAUUCCAGUCACAGUCAGUGGAACAGGACCACCCUGCUGUCCAGCUUCCUCCCAAGAAGAAUGGUUGCUCUCGAGGAUGGGUAUCCUUUAUAUGUUCUGGUCACACGCCUGCAGAACUCAAAUGUCCAUCUCCUCCAAAAGUGGGUCCCCUCCCCCAGUUUGUGCCUUCCAAGAGCAGCUUGAAGAAGCCCACAGAUGGUUCCAUACUAGUUGGUGGAGGCAAUGAUGGUUGUAUCACAAGGAAGAAAGUGCAGUGGCCCGAUUACUUUGGCAAAGAGCUUAUUGAGAUCAGACAUAUUCACUGUCAGAAGUGAUGGAAGCGUGCUUAAUAUGCAGUCAUGAAGCUAUGUGGCACAUGCAUCAUGGCCAAUCAAGAAGCUGAGUUCAUUCCAAGAAUUGUUAAUCGAUCGACAGUUGAUCAGUUGCCGAUUGCAGUAGCUUUGUUCUUCAGGUAAGCUAUAGCCGCAGGUCGUCAUCCAGAUCUUUUCCCAGCCCUGCCUGGCUGACCUUAUCAACAAACUACAUGCAUUUGUGGGAAUACAGCUCUCCUCAUGGUUAGUCGCCUGUCCAAUUGACAGUGAAUCUACACCGUUGAUGAUUUUGGUCCAUUUAUUCAUGAUCGUUGGUGUGUCAAUGGGUCCCCCUGUUUUCCCCCUUUCUUUCAUUUUGAUUCUUCGCCUCGUUAUUUUUUCUCUUGCUGUGGUAGAAUCUAAUGCCUACGUUGCUGGAAUGUACAUAUUCUUCAACCAUAGAUCCAACUUUCUUUUCUUUUCUUUUCUUUUCUUGGAUACAAAGGCUUAUAUCUCAUUCAUAUGAAAUUUCUCAUGAAAUGUGUUUCAUUUGUAAGAGUUCUUGCUCA